GCUACGGGAGGCAGCAGUCGAGAAUCAUUCACAAUGGGGGAAACCCUGAUGGUGCGACGCCGCGUGGGGGAAUGAAGGUCUUCGGAGUGUAAACCCCUGUCAUGUGGGAGCAAAUUAAAAAGAUAGUACCACAAGAGGAAGAGACGGCUAACUCUGUGCCAGCAGCCGCGGUAAUACAGAGGUCUCAAGCGUUGUUGGGAAUCAAUGGGAGUAAAGGGUGCGUAGGCUGUUUCGUAAGUCGUGUGUGAAAGGCGCGGGCCCAACCCGCGGAGGGCACAGGAUUCGGCGAGACUAGAUAAAUGGAGGGGGAACCGGAAUUCUCGGUGUAGCAGUGAAAUGCGUAGAUAUCGAGAGGAACACUCGUGGCGAAGGCGGGUUCCUGGACAUUAACUGACGCUGAGGCACGAAGGCCAGGGGAGCGAAAGGGAUUAGAUACCCCAGUAGUC
This 446-nucleotide ribosomal RNA is filed under the name uncultured bacterium. RNAcentral's name for it is "partial 16S ribosomal RNA". It matches the Rfam family "Bacterial small subunit ribosomal RNA", at positions 338 to 795 of the family's 1533-position model. The record is from RNAcentral.